GGUCUCUCCCCCGCCCCCCAGGCUCCCCCGGUCGCUCUCCUCCGGCGGUCGCCCGCGCUCGGUGGAUGUGGCUGGCAGCUGCCGCCCCCUCCCUCGCUCGCCGCCUGCUCUUCCUCGGCCCUCCGCCUCCUCCCCUCCUCCUUCUCGUCUUCAGCCGCUCCUCUCGCCGCCGCCUCCACAGCCUGGGCCUCGCCGCGAUGCCGGAGAAGAGGCCCUUCGAGCGGCUGCCUGCCGAUGUCUCCCCCAUCAACUGCAGCCUUUGCCUCAAGCCCGACUUGCUGGACUUCACCUUCGAGGGCAAGCUGGAGGCCGCCGCCCAGGUGAGGCAGGCGACUAAUCAGAUUGUGAUGAAUUGUGCUGAUAUUGAUAUUAUUACAGCUUCAUAUGCACCAGAAGGAGAUGAAGAAAUACAUGCUACAGGAUUUAACUAUCAGAAUGAAGAUGAAAAAGUCACCUUGUCUUUCCCUAGUACUCUGCAAACAGGUACAGGAACCUUAAAGAUAGAUUUUGUUGGAGAGCUGAAUGACAAAAUGAAAGGUUUCUAUAGAAGUAAGUAUACUACCCCUUCUGGAGAGGUGCCCUAUGCUGCUGUAACACAGUUUGAGGCUACUGAUGCCCGAAGGGCUUUUCCUUGCUGGGAUGAGCCUGCUAUCAAAGCAACUUUUGAUAUCUCAUUGGUUGUUCCUAAAGACAGAGUAGCUUUAUCAAACAUGAAUGUAAUUGACCGGAAACCAUACCCUGAUGAUGAAAAUUUAGUGGAAGUGAAGUUUGCCCGCACACCUGUUACAUCUACAUAUCUGGUGGCAUUUGUUGUGGGUGAAUAUGACUUUGUAGAAACAAGGUCAAAAGAUGGUGUGUGUGUCUGUGUUUACACUCCUGUUGGCAAAGCAGAACAAGGAAAAUUUGCAUUAGAGGUUGCUGCUAAAACCUUGCCUUUUUAUAAGGACUACUUCAAUGUUCCUUAUCCUCUACCUAAAAUUGAUCUCAUUGCUAUUGCAGACUUUGCAGCUGGUGCCAUGGAGAACUGGGACCUUGUUACUUAUAGGGAGACUGCAUUGCUUAUUGAUCCAAAAAAUUCCUGUUCUUCAUCCCGCCAGUGGGUUGCUCUGGUUGUGGGACAUGAACUUGCCCAUCAAUGGUUUGGAAAUCUUGUUACUAUGGAAUGGUGGACUCAUCUUUGGUUAAAUGAAGGUUUUGCAUCCUGGAUUGAAUAUCUGUGUGUAGACCACUGCUUCCCAGAGUAUGAUAUUUGGACUCAGUUUGUUUCUGCUGAUUACACCCGUGCCCAGGAGCUUGACGCCUUAGAUAACAGCCAUCCUAUUGAAUAUUACAGGCUAUCUGCUUCCUGUCAUAACCCUGAAUCACACUGUCUGCCAGGUCAGUGUGGGCCAUCCAUCUGAGGUUGAUGAGAUAUUUGAUGCUAUAUCAUAUAGCAAAGGUGCAUCUGUCAUCCGAAUGCUGCAUGACUACAUUGGGGAUAAGGACUUUAAGAAAGGAAUGAACAUGUAUUUAACCAAGUUCCAACAAAAGAAUGCUGCCGCAGGUAAUCUUUAAUAGCUUGAGAUAGAAAUGGAGAGAAAGUAUUGUCACUCUAUCCAGGCUGGGACAUUUUAUUUUUGUUCUGAAUACUUAACUCAAGGUCAGGAUCCAUGUAAUAAAUAAAUUAGCCU
Molecule: long non-coding RNA, 1670 nt
Organism: Homo sapiens (human)
Lineage: Eukaryota; Metazoa; Chordata; Mammalia; Primates; Hominidae
Gene: NPEPPSP1
Product: NPEPPS pseudogene 1
Source: Ensembl